GGAAUCUUCCACAAUGGACGCAAGUCUGAUGGAGCAACGCCGCGUGAGUGAAGAAGGUCUUCGGAUCGUAAAACUCUGUUGUUAGAGAAGAACACGAGUGAGAGUAACUGUUCAUUCGAUGACGGUAUCUAACCAGCAAGUCACGGCUAACUACGUGCAG
RNAcentral lists this ribosomal RNA (160 nucleotides) under uncultured bacterium. Its description in RNAcentral is "partial 16S rRNA". It matches the Rfam family "Bacterial small subunit ribosomal RNA", at positions 358 to 510 of the family's 1533-position model. The record is from RNAcentral.